This 1141-nucleotide long non-coding RNA is filed under the name Homo sapiens (human). RNAcentral describes it as "MIR663A host gene". The record is from RNAcentral. Lineage: Eukaryota; Metazoa; Chordata; Mammalia; Primates; Hominidae.
GCCGGUCCCCGCCCUGACCGCGAACGCUCAAGGUUGCCGCACGCAGGUUUUUCCUGAAAUACUAGGCUUUAGAAUUUCACCAUAUGAAUUUUGGGAGAGAGGAGCACAGUUCAGCCCAUAACUAACACACGACGGAAUGAAGUUGAUAAUAGUGAGACCUUGUUGGUACAAGACUAUGUAACAUAACCUGCGCUUCUCAACAAAGAAUUGCUUUUCUGACUUCUGCACUCAGUUCUUUCCUCCAGCUCACUUUAUUGUAAGAACCUUGGUGUCUGUAAUCGGCUCGGAACCCUUGCUGCUCUUUCACUGAAUAUCGCUGUCUGGAGGUUACUUGGUACACUGGUCGACAAAACCUUGAAAUGUUGAUGUUUAAGGGCUGUUGAUUGCUGGCAGCAAAGAAGUCCAACUGUGCUGGUACCCGAGAUAGCGUCUCCACAUUUUCUUCCAGGAUCAUCACCUUUGUUCUAAAUAGCUCCCACAUAGUGUGAACAGAAGUCAUAUGUUUUAGAUUUUCUGCCUUGGCACCCAGGAAACCAGUAUGAUUGAGUAAACAUAUUAAACUUCCUCUGCAUUUCCAGCCUGAACAGAUGUUGAGUACAAGCUGAUCCACCUACGUUCAACCUGAGAGAGUCCACAUCCACAGACUGUUUCAUUUCCCUUUUUCAAUUUACAUAGAAGCAUAGAUUCUUGCUGGCAUAUACAAAUGCGCCAUUUAAGGCAAUCAAAAAUGGUUCCACAUCUCAUCUGAUUUCCACAAUUGUUGCUGUAACGAUGGACUACUGAGGAGAGAGACAAUUUCUCUGGCACAUCUUCCCACAUUUUAGCAACAUGUUCAUGGAGAGCCAAUAUUCAGUAAUUACAGCCCAAUUCCUCACAAUUUCACAAUUCGCUAACAAUAUGCAUUUUCACAAUGUAAAGCUGAUUUUCCUUUAACCAAAUCAAACAUGAAAAGAUAGCUGCAUGCAAUGGGCAAUCUAGAUCAUUAGAAGAUUGAUGUAAAAUUAGAGGACACUGAGACUGGAAUAGAUUGCAAACUUCAGGGAGCUCAGAAAACUUGUAAACUCUACAUUUUGAGGAAAUAUGUUGUCGAUGCUUUUGCAACUCUAUGCAGUAACUUAACAAAUAAAGCCUUAAAGUAACU